RNAcentral lists this ribosomal RNA (514 nucleotides) under uncultured bacterium. Its description in RNAcentral is "bacterial SSU rRNA". It matches the Rfam family "Bacterial small subunit ribosomal RNA", at positions 36 to 518 of the family's 1533-position model. The record is from RNAcentral.
CUGGCGGCGUGCCUAAUACAUGCAAGUCGAACGGCUUUUCUAUGGAAGCUUGCUUCCACUGAAAAGAUAGUGGCGAACGGGUGAGUAACACGUGGGGUAACCCUGGCCCCAUAAGAGGGGGGAUAACAUCCGGAAACGGGUGCUAAUACCGCAUAGUUUUCUUGAUCGCAUGAUCGGGAAAGGAAAGACGGCCUUUGUGCUGUCGCUUACGGAUGGACCCGCGGCGUAUUAGUUAGUUGGUGAGGUAACGGCUCACCAAGACGAUGAUACGUAGCCGACCUGAGAGGGUGAUCGGCCACAUUGGGACUGAGACACGGCCCAAACUCCUACGGGAGGCAGCAGUAGGGAAUCUUCCGCAAUGGACGAAAGUCUGACGGAGCAACGCCGCGUGAGUGAAAGAAGGUUUUCGGAUCGUAAAACUCUGUUGUCAGAGAAGAACAAGUUGGAGAGUAACUGCUUCAGCCUUGACGGUAUCUGACCAGAAAGCCACGGCUAACUACGUGCCAGCCGCCGC